RNAcentral lists this ribosomal RNA (874 nucleotides) under Tricholoma myomyces. Its description in RNAcentral is "eukaryotic LSU rRNA". It matches the Rfam family "Eukaryotic large subunit ribosomal RNA", at positions 64 to 922 of the family's 3401-position model. The record is from RNAcentral. Lineage: Eukaryota; Fungi; Basidiomycota; Agaricomycetes; Agaricales; Tricholomataceae.
ACUAACAAGGAUUCCGCUAGUUACUGCGAGUGAAGCGGGAAAAGCUCAAAUUUAAAAUCUGAGGGUCUUUAUGGCCUUCCGAGUUGUAAUCUAGAGAAGUGCUAUCCGCGCUGGACCGUGUACAAGUCUCCUGGAACGGAGCGUCAUAGAGGGUGAGAAUCCCGUCUUUGACACGGACUACCAGGGCUUAUGUGAUGCGCUCUCAAAGAGUCGAGUUGUUUGGGAAUGCAGCUCUAAAUGGGUGGUAAAUUCCAUCUAAAGCUAAAUAUUGGCGAGAGACCGAUAGCGAACAAGUACCGUGAGGGAAAGAUGAAAAGAACUUUGGAAAGAGAGUUAAACAGUACGUGAAAUUGUUGAAAGGGAAACGCUUGAAGUCAGUCGCAUUGGCCAGGGAUCAACCUUGCUUUUGCUUGGUGUAUUUUCUGGUUAAUGGGUCAGCAUCAAUUUUGAUCGGUGGAAAAAGAUCAAGGGAAUGUGGCAUCUUCGGAUGUGUUAUAGCCUUUGGUUGUAUACAUCGGUUGGGAUUGAGGAACUCAGCACGCCGCAAGGCCGGGUUUUUAACCACGUACGUGCUUAGGAUGCUGGCAUAAUGGCUUUAAUCGACCCGUCUUGAAACACGGACCAAGGAGUCUAACAUGCACGCGAGUGUUUGGGUGGAAAACCCGAGCGCGUAAUGAAAGUGAAAAUUGAGAUCCCUGUCGUGGGGAGCAUCGAUGCCCGGACCAGACCUUUUGUGACGGUUCCGCGGUUGAGCGUGUAUGCUGGGACCCGAAAGAUGGUGAACUAUGCCUGAAUAGGGUGAAGCCAGAGGAAACUCUGGUGGAGGCUCGUAGCGAUUCUGACGUGCAAUCGAUCGUCAAAUUUGGGUAUAGGG